Molecule: ribosomal RNA, 460 nt
Filed under: uncultured bacterium
Lineage: Bacteria
Description: bacterial SSU rRNA
Rfam family: Bacterial small subunit ribosomal RNA
Source: RNAcentral
AUGGAACGUUGGCGGCGUGCCUAAUACAUGCAAGUCGAACGAAGACUGUAGUAAUACUGUCUUAGUGGCGAACGGGUGAGUAACGCGUGGGUGACCUGCCCCGAAGUGUGGGAUAACAGUUCGAAAGAACUGCUAAUACCGCAUAACAUCCAAGAGAUUAGAAGCUUUUGGAUUAAAGGAGUAAUUCGCUUCGGGAGGGGCCCGCGUCCCAUCAGCUAGUUGGUAAGGUAAUGGCUUACCAAGGCGAUGACGGGUAGGGGACCUGAGAGGGUGGCCCCCCACAAUGGAACUGAAACACGGUCCAUACACCUACGGGUGGCAGCAGUAGGGAAUAUUAGUAAUGGGCGAAAGCCUGAACUAGCAACGCCGCGUGUGCGAAGAAGGCCUUCGGGUUGUAAAGCACUUUUUGAGAGGAUGAGGAAGGACGGUACUCUCAGAAUAAGUCUCGGCUAACUACGUG